AUACGUAGGUGACAAGCGUUAUCCGGAUUUACUGGGCGUAAAGGGCGUGUAGGCGGUCUUGCAAGUCAGAAGUGAAAUUCCUGAGCUCAACUCGGGCGCUGCUUCUGAAACUGCAGGACUUGAGUGCUGGAGGGGAUAGCGGAAUUCCUAGUGGAGCGGUAAAAUGCGCAGAUAUUAGGAAGAACACCGGUGGCGAAGGCGGUUAGCUGGACAGUAACUGACGCUGAGGCGCGAAAGCGUGGGGAGCAAACAGGAUUAGAUACCCUGGUAGUCCACGCCAUAAACGAUGAAUACUAGGUGUAGGGGGUAUCGACCCCCUCUGUGCCGACGUUAACACAUUAAGUAUUCCACCUGGGGAGUACGGCCGCAAGGCUGAAACUCAAAGGAAUUGACGGGG
This 397-nucleotide ribosomal RNA is filed under the name uncultured bacterium. Its description in RNAcentral is "partial 16S ribosomal RNA". It matches the Rfam family "Bacterial small subunit ribosomal RNA", at positions 523 to 918 of the family's 1533-position model. The record is from RNAcentral.